UAGGGAGAGACAGUUGGAGGACUAGGCCUCAAAUCCUUCAAGUUUCAGCCACUUCAGCCUUCCUGGCCUGGCCUGGGGAGAGACAGUUGGAGGACUAGGCCUCAAAUCCUUCAAGUUUCAGCCACUUCAGCCUUCCUGGCCUGGCCUGGGGAGAGACAGUUGGAGGACUAGGCCUCAAAUCCUUCAAGUUUCAGCCACUUCAGCCUUCCUGGCCUGGCCUGGGGAGAGACAGUUGGAGGACUAGGCCUCAAAUCCUUCAAGUUUCAGCCACUUCAGCCUGCCUGGCCUGGCCUGGGGAGAGACAGUUGGAGGACUAGGCCUCAAAUCCUUCAAGUUUCGGCCACUUCAACCUUCCUGAUCUGGCCUGGGGAGAGCUAGUUGGAGGACUAGGCCUCAAAUCCUUCAAGUUUCGGCCACUUCAACCUUCCUGAUCUGGCCUGGGGAGAGACAGUGGGAGCACUAGGCCUCAAAUCCUUCAACUGUUGUGGCCGCUUCACCCCCUUUCUUGCCUGGAAGGACUGUUGGGAGGAGCAGGCCUCAAAUCAUUCAACCGCUCCAUGUCUUGACUUCAAGGAAUUUGAGCCACUGGCCGAGUCCGCUUCAGUCAGUUUCCUGUGAGUAAGGAGGCUGCUGCUCCUGGAUCCUCUCAACUGCUCAUUGCCACCAUAACACCUGCCAUGAACUCCCCACCUGAGUUAGGACAGAAUAUGCGGUAAGAGAAACUCGCCACCUGUCUACUGACUGAGCCAUGUUUUAAACAAUACGUUGACCCCCAGUUUCAGCUGAGCGCUGUUUCAUUUGCUUGUGGUUUCUAUUGCUUGAGGAAAAUCCCUAGCGG
Non-coding RNA from Podarcis lilfordi (Lilford's wall lizard), 838 nucleotides. NCBI's taxonomy places the organism in Eukaryota, Metazoa, Chordata, Lepidosauria, Squamata, Lacertidae. The record is from the annotation of a GenBank genome assembly.